RNAcentral lists this ribosomal RNA (131 nucleotides) under uncultured eukaryote. RNAcentral's name for it is "partial small subunit ribosomal RNA". The record is from RNAcentral.
GUCAUCCCAAUCAUCGAAACGAUAGUUCAGUCUGUCGAUAUGCGAAUACGCUCGACCGACUUCAGUUCUGAAUCCACUCUUACAAAGGAUACUGUUCCAGUAAACGUUGAUGCAAUUUGUUUCUGGAUGGU